Molecule: ribosomal RNA, 492 nt
Filed under: uncultured bacterium
Lineage: Bacteria
Description: partial 16S ribosomal RNA
Rfam family: Bacterial small subunit ribosomal RNA
Source: RNAcentral
AGUGAACGCUGGCGGCAGGCCUAACACAUGCCAGUCGAACGGCAGCACAGUAAGAGCUUGCUCUUACGGGUGGCGAGUGGCGGACGGGUGAGGAAUACAUCGGAAUCUACUUUUUCGUGGGGGAUAACGUAGGGAAACUUACGCUAAUACCGCAUACGACCUACGGGUGAAAGCAGGGGAUCUCCGGACCUUGCGCGAUUGAAUGAGCCGAUGUCGGAUUAGCUAGUUGGCGGGGUAAAGGCCCACCAAGGCGACGAUCCGUAGCUGGUCUGAGAGGAUGAUCAGCCACACUGGAACUGAGACACGGUCCAGACUCCUACGGGAGGCAGCAGUGGGGAAUAUUGGACAAUGGGCGCAAGCCUGAUCCAGCCAUACCGCGUGGGUGAAGAAGGCCUUCGGGUUGUAAAGCCCUUUUGUUGGGAAAGAAAAGCAGCAGGUUAAUACCCCGCUGUUCUGACGGUACCCAAAGAAUAAGCACCGGCUAACUUCGUG